Molecule: ribosomal RNA, 493 nt
Filed under: uncultured bacterium
Lineage: Bacteria
Description: partial 16S ribosomal RNA
Rfam family: Bacterial small subunit ribosomal RNA
Source: RNAcentral
AUUGAACGCUGGCGGCAUGCCUUACACAUGCAAGUCGAACGGUAGAGGGGCAACCCUCGAGAGUGGCGAACGGGUGAGUAAUGCAUCGGAACGUGCCCAGUAGUGGGGGAUAGCCCGGCGAAAGCCGGAUUAAUACCGCAUACGACCUACGGGUGAAAGGGGGGGAUCGCAAGACCUCUCGCUAUUGGAGCGGCCGAUGUCAGAUUAGGUAGUUGGUGGGAUAAAAGCCUACCAAGCCGACGAUCUGUAGCUGGUCUGAGAGGACGACCAGCCAAACUGGGACUGAGACACGGCCCAGACUCCUACGGGAGGCAGCAGUGGGGAAUUUUGGACAAUGGACGAAAGUCUGAUCCAGCCAUGCCGCGUGCAGGAAGAAGGCCUUCGGGUUGUAAACUGCUUUUGUCAGGGAAGAAGUCCCCUGGGUUAAUACCUCGGGGGAUGACGGUACCUGAAGAAUAAGCACCGGCUAACUACGUGCCAGCCGCCGCGGUAA